GACGAACGCUGGCGGCGUGCCUAAUACAUGCAAGUAGAACGCUGAAGGAGGAGCUUACUUCUCUGGAUGAGUUGCGAACGGGUGAGUAACGCGUAGGUAACCUGCCUGGUAGCGGGGGAUAACUAUUGGAAACGAUAGCUAAUACCGCAUAAGAGUAGAUGUUGCAUGACAUUUACUUAAAAGGUGCAAUUGCACCACUACCAGAUGGACCUGCGUUGUAUUAGCUAGUUGGUGGGGUAACGGCUUACCAAGGCGACGAUACAUAGCCGACCUGAGAGGGUGAUCGGCCACACUGGGACGGAGACACGGCCCAGACUCCUACGGGAGGCAGCAGUAGGGAAGCUUCGGCAAUGGACGGAAGUCUGACCGAGCAACGCCGCGUGAGUGAAGAAGGUUUUCGGAUCGUAAAGCUCUGUUGUAAGAGAAGAACGAGUGUGAGAGUGGAAAGUUCACACUGUGACGGUAUCUUACCAGAAAGGGACGGCCAACUACGUGCCAGCAGCCGCCGUAA
This 511-nucleotide ribosomal RNA is filed under the name uncultured bacterium. RNAcentral's name for it is "partial 16S ribosomal RNA". It matches the Rfam family "Bacterial small subunit ribosomal RNA", at positions 28 to 523 of the family's 1533-position model. The record is from RNAcentral.